Molecule: long non-coding RNA, 855 nt
Organism: Zalophus californianus (California sea lion)
Lineage: Eukaryota; Metazoa; Chordata; Mammalia; Carnivora; Otariidae
Exons: 4
Source: RefSeq, a predicted model, not a curated record
CCCACGCAGACAUCCUUGGGGACGUGCCCCUGCUGUGAGAAGCGCGACUGUGGUGCGGAGGGUCCUCCUGCUCCCCUGCUGCGGCUGUGCCUCCGAACCCCGCUGUGCCCACGGUCUCCGGCCGCGCCAGCCCAGGGUUCCAGAAGGUUCAAGUUCAAGAAAUGAUGCUUCUCUGUGCCUUGCUCCUAGCCGUUGGCUGGCCGUUGGUCAGCAAUCAAAAUAUAUCAGCUUGGACCUACAAUUUGAAAUGCCAUGAGUGUUCCAUCAUCAACACCUUCAACUGUCCAAAUCUGAGAACAUGUGCCUAUGAAGUAAGGCGCUGUCUGAUAGUCUCUAUUCGUUUGAAUGUUCGGGAACUAUACGUUUACAAGAACUGCACAUCCAACUGCACUUUUUUAUAUCCAUCCGAAACACCUCCUGAAGCCCCGAGAAUCCUUAAAACUAAUAGUUUUUAUUUUGUUCAUUGUUGUAAUUCUAUGAGUUGCAAUGACGGAGGACCUACUAAUUUUGAGAGGGAUAUCCUACCUGAUUAUACAAUUGAGGAGGAGUUAGAGGGAACUGUGCGCCUGGGAGAGUCAACAUUUUUCCUGAGCGUUGCCUCCAUCCUAGUCAGCAAUACACUGACAUGAGAAGCCCUCUUGGAGGGCCUGAUCUCUCCCCCCAUUCCUCAGAGCAAGUUCACUCUCCUUUCCUCCCUUGUGAGCGGGGACCCUGACCCACACGCCUCCCAGUUGGCCGGUUACCCCUUUAAGCUUAUUUCAAGAGAGAAAUAAAGAACAUCAUUGUUUGGGUACUGCUUACCCGGAGAUUUCUUUGUGGUUUUAGCGUUUGAUCUGUUCGUUCCUCUUUAGACAU